UGGGGAAUAUUGGACAAUGGGCGAAAGCCUGAUCCAGCCAUGCCGCGUGUGUGAAGAAGGUCUUCGGAUUGUAAAGCACUUUAAGUUGGGAGGAAGGGCAGUAAGCGAAUACCUUGCUGUUUUGACGUUACCGACAGAAUAAGCACCGGCUAACUCUGUGCCAGCAGCCGCGGUAAUACAGAGGGUGCAAGCGUUAAUCGGAAUUACUGGGCGUAAAGCGCGCGUAGGUGGUUCGUUAAGUUGAAUGUGAAAGCCCCGGGCUCAACCUGGGAACUGCAUCCAAAACUGGCGAGCUAGAGUAGGGCAGAGGGUGGUGGAAUUUCCUGUGUAGCGGUGAAAUGCGUAGAUAUAGGAAGGAACACCCGUGGCGAAGGCGACCACCUGGGCUCAUACUGACACUGAGGUGCGAAAGCGUGGGGAGCAAACAGG
This 429-nucleotide ribosomal RNA is filed under the name Pseudomonadota bacterium. Its description in RNAcentral is "Proteobacteria bacterium partial 16S ribosomal RNA". It matches the Rfam family "Bacterial small subunit ribosomal RNA", at positions 355 to 776 of the family's 1533-position model. The record is from RNAcentral. Lineage: Bacteria; Pseudomonadati; Pseudomonadota.